GAUGAACGCUGGCGGCGUGCCUAAUACAUGCAAGUCGAGCGAACGGACGAGAAGCUUGCUUCUCUGAUGUUAGCGGCGGACGGGUGAGUAACACGUGGAUAACCUACCUAUAAGACUGGGAUAACUUCGGGAAACCGGAGCUAAUACCGGAUAAUAUUUUGAACCGCAUGGUUCAAAAGUGAAAGACGGUCUUGCUGUCACUUAUAGAUGGAUCCGCGCUGCAUUAGCUAGUUGGUAAGGUAACGGCUUACCAAGGCAACGAUGCAUAGCCGACCUGAGAGGGUGAUCAGCCACACUGGAACUGAGACACGGUCCAGACUCCUACGGGAGGCAGCAGUAGGGAAUCUUCCGCAAUGGGCGAAAGCCUGACGCAGCCACGCCGCGUGAGUGAUGAAGGUCUUCGGAUCGUAAAACUCUGUUAUUAGGGAAGAACAUAUGUGUAAGUAACUGUGCACAUCUUGACGGUACCUAAUCAGAAAGCCCCGGCUAACUACGUG
Molecule: ribosomal RNA, 497 nt
Filed under: uncultured bacterium
Lineage: Bacteria
Description: partial 16S ribosomal RNA
Rfam family: Bacterial small subunit ribosomal RNA
Source: RNAcentral